UACGUAGGGUGCGAGCGUUAAUCGGAAUUACUGGGCGUAAAGCGUGCGCAGGCGGCUCUUCAAGUCAGAUGUGAAAGCCCCGGGCUUAACCUGGGAAUGGCGUUUGAAACUGGAGGGCUGGAGUGUGGCAGAGGGAGGUGGAAUUCCACGUGUAGCAGUGAAAUGCGUAGAGAUGUGGAGGAACACCGAUGGCGAAGGCAGCCUCCGGGGCCAACACUGACGAUCAUGCACGAAAGCGUGGGGAGCAAACAGG
RNAcentral lists this ribosomal RNA (253 nucleotides) under uncultured bacterium. RNAcentral's name for it is "partial 16S ribosomal RNA". It matches the Rfam family "Bacterial small subunit ribosomal RNA", at positions 524 to 776 of the family's 1533-position model. The record is from RNAcentral.